GGGGUCGCGUCCUAUCAGCUUGUAGGCGGGGUAAUGGCCCACCUAGGCUUCGACGGGUAGCCGGCCUGAGAGGGCGGACGGCCACAUUGGGACUGAGAUACGGCCCAGACUCCUACGGGAGGCAGCAGUGGGGAAUAUUGCGCAAUGGGGGAAACCCUGACGCAGCGACGCCGCGUGCGGGAUGAAGGCCUUCGGGUUGUAAACCGCUUUUGAUUGGGAGCAAGCCUUUUGGGUUGAGUGUACCUUUCGAAUAAGCGCCGGCUAACUACGUGCCAGCAGCCGCGGUAAAU
RNAcentral lists this ribosomal RNA (290 nucleotides) under uncultured Gardnerella sp. RNAcentral describes it as "partial 16S ribosomal RNA". It matches the Rfam family "Bacterial small subunit ribosomal RNA", at positions 227 to 525 of the family's 1533-position model. The record is from RNAcentral. Lineage: Bacteria; Bacillati; Actinomycetota; Actinomycetes; Bifidobacteriales; Bifidobacteriaceae.